This is a long non-coding RNA of Oncorhynchus tshawytscha (Chinook salmon), 537 nucleotides long. NCBI's taxonomy places the organism in Eukaryota, Metazoa, Chordata, Actinopteri, Salmoniformes, Salmonidae. The record is from Ensembl.
GUGUAAAAUCAGUCUUUCGGCGAGCUACAGCCUACUAAUUUUACUUUUCUAGUGAACAUACUUCUUUCCGUAGGAAAUGUUAUACUUUAUUUACAUUUUAGGGUACAUGAGGAUUAAAUUGAAAAGUAGUUUGACUUGUUUGAACAAAGUUUAGCGAUAGCUUUUUGGAUUCCUUUGUCUGCAUGUUGAACGAGUGGAUUACUGAAAUCGAUAGCUUUUGGGAAAUAAAGAAGGAUUUUAUCUAACAAAACGACCAUUCAUCUUGUAGCUGGGACCUUUGGGAUUGCAAACAGAGGAAGAUUUUCAAAAACUGGAACAGGGGCUUGGCCAUCUUGUUUUGGCGGGAAGAGGAGAGGAGCACCUCCGGCCAACUAUGUUCCGUUCUGGCAUCCCUUUGACAAGUAUCAGAGGACAAGUUAACACAGUCCCUUGCUUACAAAGUAAGCCUGUCCGGUGGCUUGCACAGCCGACCCACCCGUGAGUAAGUAUGGGCUCUAACAGGGAAAGGAUUCGGGCCACGAGCUGGAGAGCUUGGUG